RNAcentral lists this ribosomal RNA (652 nucleotides) under Russula crassotunicata. RNAcentral's name for it is "eukaryotic LSU rRNA". It matches the Rfam family "Eukaryotic large subunit ribosomal RNA", at positions 1 to 625 of the family's 3401-position model. The record is from RNAcentral. Lineage: Eukaryota; Fungi; Basidiomycota; Agaricomycetes; Russulales; Russulaceae.
UUGACCUCAAAUCGGGUGAGACUACCCGCUGAACUUAAGCAUAUCAAUAAGCGGAGGAAAAGAAACUAACAAGGAUUCCCCUAGUAACUGCGAGUGAAGCGGGAAAAGCUCAAAUUUAAAAUCUGGUGGUCUUCUGGCCAUCCGAGUUGUAAUUUAGAGAAGCGUCUUCCGCGCUGGACCGUGCACAAGUCUCCUGGAAUGGAGCGUCAUAGAGGGUGAGAAUCCCGUCUUUGGCACGGACUCCCAGGGCUUUUGUGAUGCGCUCUCGAAGAGUCGAGUUGUUUGGGAAUGCAGCUCAAAAUGGGUGGUGAACUCCAUCUAAAGCUAAAUAUUGGCGAGAGACCGAUAGCGAACAAGUACCGUGAGGGAAAGAUGAAAAGCACUUUGGAAAGAGAGUGAAACAGUACGUGAAAUUGUUGAAAGGGAAACGCUUGAAGUCAGUCGCGUCGACCGAGACUCAGCCUCGCCUCGGCUUGGUGUACUUCUCGGCCGACGGGUCAGCAUCGAUUUCGAUCCUCGGAUAAUGACGAGGGAAAGGUGGCACCCUUUCGGGUGUGUUAUAGUCCUCCGUCGCAUGCGAGGGUCGGGAUCGAGGAACUCAGCACGCGCCUCUCGGCGUCGGGGCUUCGGCUCACGUUACGUGCUUAGGAUG